CGCGUAGGCGGCACUGUAAGUCAGAUGUGAAAGUCCAGGGCUCAACCUUGGAAGUGCAUCUGAAACUGCAGAGCUUGAGUAUUGGAGAGGAAAGUGGAAUCCCUGGUGUAGAGGUGAAAUUCGUAGAUAUCAGGAGGAAUACCGGAGGCGAAGGCGACUUUCUGGACAAAUACUGACGCUGAGGCGCGAAAGCGUGGGGAGCAAACA
RNAcentral lists this ribosomal RNA (207 nucleotides) under uncultured bacterium. Its description in RNAcentral is "partial 16S ribosomal RNA". It matches the Rfam family "Bacterial small subunit ribosomal RNA", at positions 568 to 774 of the family's 1533-position model. The record is from RNAcentral.